RNAcentral lists this ribosomal RNA (207 nucleotides) under uncultured bacterium. RNAcentral describes it as "partial 16S ribosomal RNA". It matches the Rfam family "Bacterial small subunit ribosomal RNA", at positions 568 to 774 of the family's 1533-position model. The record is from RNAcentral.
CGCGUAGGCGGUCCUUCAAGUCCCGCGUGAAAUCCCCCGGCUCAACUGGGGAACUGCGCGGGAAACUGUAGGGCUUGAGUUCGGGAGAGGGAAGCGGAAUUCCGGGUGUAGCGGUGAAAUGCGUAGAUAUCCGGAGGAACACCGGUGGCGAAGGCGGCUUCCUGGACCGACACUGACGCUGAGGCGCGAAAGCUAGGGGAGCAAACG